GCCGGGGGAGCUGCCGGGGCAGGGCGUGAGGGGGAGCGCGGGCGAGGGGCCGUGGAGCCGUGCCGGCCCGGGCGGGUCGGCGGGAGAGGUCGCCCGGGGCGCGGAGAGGUCCCGAAAUCCGUGAAGGGGAACCGUCGGCUGAAGGGAGGCUCGCCCCCGAGCAAGUGCGCGGGGUGGCCGGGCCUCACGCCGGUGGGACGGGGAACGAGGGUGUGUUGGAAACCCUGAAAUUUUCAGUGAAGCCUGACUUAAUCGGAAAGAACUGAAGAAGCACAGGUGGAAAGGAACUAGAGAAGCACAGGAGGAAAACCUGUGAACACAAAUCUUUGUACGAAGCUGCACUGACUUCUCUUCACAUCUUCCAAAAGAUCAGGCGGGAACAGAUGGCAACCCCUUCUGCUCUGCUUAUAGGCCCUUUUCCCUGUACUUAAGAGCCUGUAACUGUGUCCAAAAGUGUAAGGGAGAAUAUCGUGGAAAAUCCUGAGCUUCCAGCAGAAAAAGAAUUUAAAAUACAUGCAUAUGCAGGACUCCUCAAUCUAUAGAUCUCGCAGAAGUGGCUAGGCCUUUGCUUCCAAAGUAGUUUUCAGCAAUCCUGGGUUCUUCAGCUUUCAUUCCUUUCUUGUGUAAGUAUGUGCAUAUUUUAGUGGAAGGGGAAAUAUUUUAGCUAAAGAAUAUUGGCAGCAUUUCGCUCGUUGAAAAUGUAUGUAAAAAGAUAAAACACAUGGAAGCACUUUACAAGACACUUGGUAUUUUGGUGGUUUUUUUUUUUUUUUAAUUUAAUAAAACAAGCAAUUGUUUUAUAGCCAAAGCCAUUUCAAGGAAAUUUACAUACCUCUGUUGGUGGUCACAGUGUAAAUAGCUAAAAAUAUAGUAUACCUUGGAUGGGUACAUGCUGGUACUGUCCUCCCCUCUCUGACCGCUAAGGUUCCUUGAUUUUUUUUCUCCUUUCUGUUAUCUUUUGCUGUUUGUUCCUUAUUGUGUAGAUCUUGCCAUUCAAAGAGGGUUCUGGGUGUUAGGGGUGAUACAUUUUUCUUCAUACUGUUCUUCAACCAGCUGGCUGGUAGCUCUUCGUGAGGGCCCUUUAACCUUCAGGCUCUAUUGUUAGGAUUUUGUUUGCUUUUUUUAAUAGGGGUAGGCAGGAAAAGGAAGAAAAAAGGACUAUUUUCAGACCCUGUGUUUCAUUAAUUAUGCAAAAGCUGUUUCUGGUUUUGUUUCAUGGCAAAGCAUCGAGUCCUGAAGGGAAAUGGAGAUACCGGUAUGUGGUCCAAGGGACCCACUGAAAAAUAGAUUUUUGCCUUUGAUAUUUACAUUUGCAGUAAUGUCAGCAAAGAGCUGUUAUUCCUGCAUAAAACAUCCAAUUUCAAGCAAAGUUCUCUUGAGCAAAGCCACCAGCUAGAAUUACCUGUCUAUAUUUUGAAGAAAUUGCAGUGUUAUUUCUGACCUCUCUUAGGGAAAUUGCUGUCAUUGUUUAUCUGAGGCUUUCCUCUGAAUUUCUCACCGUAGUCUUUAGGGUUCAAGCUGUGUUACCCACUGCUGACGUCUGUAACUUCUAUGGGAAGCUGCUGUAUUUUUCCAUUUCGGGGUACCAGUUCAUAGCACCAAGGUACUGAAAUACAUUGGAAGUGACAUAACGUGUAUCGAUAUAAGCAAGUGUAAUGAUUUUAAAGAUUUAUAUUAUACUUAUUUAAUAAACAGUUUUUAUUAUCCUUG
This is a long non-coding RNA of Aquila chrysaetos chrysaetos, 1710 nucleotides long. RefSeq lists it as uncharacterized. The record is from RefSeq and is a predicted model, not a curated record. The transcript is spliced from 2 exons. Lineage: Eukaryota; Metazoa; Chordata; Aves; Accipitriformes; Accipitridae.